Long non-coding RNA from Frieseomelitta varia, 3241 nucleotides. RefSeq lists it as uncharacterized. The record is from RefSeq and is a predicted model, not a curated record. The transcript is spliced from 3 exons. Lineage: Eukaryota; Metazoa; Arthropoda; Insecta; Hymenoptera; Apidae.
UAUUCUCGACAUGCGUGGCACGUCAUUCCAGCGCAAGAGGUUAACGCAAGUAGUACAACAUUCCAGCCUCGAUGUUUCAAUCGAUCACGCAUGUUGCUUGAUCAUUGGCUUUGCGAUUGUAGAAAUUAUAAAUACACAUCGAUCAUCAAAACAUCGGCAAAAACGUCAUCAAGGACAAAACGGGGAUUUCCAGCGUAAGCGUGAAACGCGAAUUCAGCGGUUUGAUUACGAAACUUUCGUCGCGAUUUUCGAUUGCUCAAUGAAGCUCGACGGUAACGUAACCUGCAUUCUGCCCGGGUUCUCACGUUAUGGCGUGUACGUAGACCUAAAUCGCGGCGUGUCUCCAGACAAUGAUACAUUGACUUUACAAACAUUGGCCCACGUAUCGGAUUAUUUCCCGGCGAGAAAUAUAUAGCAGGUAGACAGAUAAUGGAGACAGGUAGUCUUUGCACAACGACAGAAAUACGUCGCGAAGAGGUAAAGGUUUAUUGUUGAAAACGGCAUUCCGAUUGUCCCUGCAACAACUCUGGUAUCCUUGCAAUGCUCGGUUAUAAUGCCAGGUGUGGCUUUCAGGUUUGAACUUAAUAUCUCUUUUUUAUUUAUUUCUGGUGCUCCGUUCGAAGGAAAAAAAACUUUGAUCAAUAACGAAUUCUAGAAUUUCGUCGGACAAUUGUAUUCGAUCGGUAAUACGAGAGAAUACAAGAACAACAUCGGUGCGUUUUUUUUUUUGCCGAUGUCAGAGGUUUCGUAACAGUUAAACUCGUGUCACAACGAGCAGCAGACAUCAACAGGCAUCGUGACGAUUCGUGUUUCGACUAAUGACACUGAAAUCAGUCUUGCGUUGAGUAACAAGAGACAAAUAUGACAAUGAACUAAUCGGGACGAUUAAACGAUUCGUGCAGCUUCUUGAAGAAGAAAAAUAAAAGAGAGAAACAAAAGGAAUGAAAGAAGAAAAGAAAUCAAGCGCUACAAGUAACUUGCUUAUAUAUUAUAUAUAAUGCUAAUGUUAAGUACAGUAAUCGAUGAAGUUUGAGUUACACUAGCGGUCCAGUCACGGUACGAUUACAGGACUUAGUCGCAGAAGCUUCAGAUAUUAUUCGACGCUCCGGAGCGUGACAAUUACACACAUAAAUGUUGACGAGCACUGGACCAUAUUUUCAAGGCUCAAGAUUUUCAAACGUAGACCUGUGAAUUCUGCACUAUUCUAUUGUUUCAUUCGGCUUCGUUCACGCUUCACGUGCAAUUCUGUUUCAUUUGGAAGAUGCGAUUAAAUUUCCUGCGACAAUACAUGAUACAAGCGGAACAGAGCGAGUUUUAUUUUUGUGUGCAAACGCCAGUUGAAAUAAACAGAAGCCACUAUGAAAUAUCACCAAAGAUCAACCUUCGAACUCGAUCGUUCAAUAGCCAACUUACACGCAGAAAAAAGAAGAAACAGACUAACGACCAGUGCUCGCUUUUUUACAUACUUCAGCGCAACUGUGUCAAUUUCAUUGCACAACGCUUUUUUCCAGUUUGCAAAGUCUCGAGUCCGGAGGAUGACCAUCUGAAGCCACGCCACGCGAGAUCGAUCUCGACCGAGUGGCGUGAAACAUCGCGAAAGGAAAACAAGGACAAAGGUCGACAGGAUUCCUCUGCCAAAUAAGUUCUCGGGGAAAGAACAUACAUGUACUCCGGCGGCGCAUGGCGGCGUAAUUUGCCGAUCGGUGGGAAUUACUGGCGGCGCAAUCGGAAGGCCGUAAUCAUUUACACCGUCCGGGAGGAGAUGAUACGAGCCAGCGUAACUGUGUAUGCACACACCAGGAGCCUACUGGUGGAAGGCGACGGGGGAACGAGCCAACAUUUUUAUUCUAAUGCGCGUUCAGCGGCUGCGAUCGCCAAGGUAAACGCGCUCGGAACGCGCUGGCGAAAAUAACAGAGCUCGGUACGUCAUGCUGCCUCUCUAUCGGCCACGAUCCACCAUCCACCGUUCUCUGCUGAUUGCUUCGCGAGGAAACUGCAACGAUACCAACAGCCCUGUUCGGAUUGACUUGCGAUUAAAUUACGAAAUGAACUCGGUAGCAGAAAAAUCGAAGCGAUCGAUUCGUCAUCUUUCAUAGAGAUUCUACAAAUUUAUACAACGAUAAAAUGCACUUUUUUUUUUUUUAAUUAAAAGUUGAACAAGAUUUAAAUAGACGAGUCUUUUUCAAUAGCGUAGAUUAGGUGAGAUUCUGAAUCGCAGUGUACAAAUAUAAAGUUUGAAUCAAGAGCAGCGAAUGAAUGGGCCUUGUCGUAAUGACAAAUCGCGACGAGUUUUUCUUCCUGAACAUCGUCCAAGAAUGAGUAUGCGUGUUUCGUUUGCCUCUCUGCGCUAGAUCGCGAGGAUAUUUUAAAUCGAUUGGUGUGAGCGUCCUCUUCGCGGUUCAAUAAACUGAUCGUAAUAAAGCUGCGAUCCUCGCGAUUGGCUCCAUCUCUUUCCUCUUUCAGAACUUCUCUGUUCAGGAUCAAAAGUGUACAACCCGAGAGAAAGUUGGCACAAAGACAAUACUUUGUGUUCCAACAGUUCAGCGAACCAAACUUUAACAGCGAAGAUAAAAAAAAAAAGGGAAGAAACUGGUUUAAUAUGAAAGUUUCCACAAGCAUUUAGACAAGCAUCUCUGAUGUAUUUAUACAAUAAUUUUUCUUCUCUCCUCGUGUUCAUUCACGUUUGCACGUCAACAGAGGCACAAACUUAAACAGAAACUUUCAGUCUCGGGUCUUAAACAAAAUUAUUGUUAAUAAACGCAUCCUCUGUUCGUGUACACUCUCGUUGGUGGUUGAAUCGGCAAGAAAGUUCUCUCUCCAAGAAAGUUCGUAGAGGCGGCCGGGAUGUUUUUCUUCGAUCUCUACCAAAUAAAGUGUCGAAAGAAAGCUGCGCGCGAACGAAACCGCGGCGUACGUUUAAGAGGAAAAUGCCAGCAAUGUCCCGACGCGGUUCGCAAUGGGUCGAUUCCCAUAAAAGAGAUUGCAUACGAUUGCACCGCUCCGCUGCGUGCUCUACGACACGGCUAAACGCAAAACUUGUCGUGAGCCGACGACAGGCGUUGAAAAUGGGCGCGGCCCCGGAAUGUCGAUCGUUCGGAACACACCGUGAAUUAGAAACGACGACUAGCCGAAAUCCAAUUGAUCCGAGCGGCCAUGGAAAUUCAUGGUGACGCGAAAACCUUACGAUUCUUCAAAAUUAUGUAUCAUCUACCACUCUUCUGUUAUUAUACAUAUUAUAAUA